AAAACGGCCCUUUUCAGGGCCACCAUCAAUUUUCAAUGCGAAAAAG
This is a regulatory RNA element of Anopheles gambiae str. PEST, 46 nucleotides long. It matches the Rfam family "Histone 3' UTR stem-loop". From Rfam's summary of the family: The mRNAs of metazoan histone genes lack a poly-A tail. Lineage: Eukaryota; Metazoa; Arthropoda; Insecta; Diptera; Culicidae. The record is from Rfam.